GCUUCAGUGGCUCAAUGGCAGAGCAGGUGAUUUGUAAUCAUCAGAUUGCAGGUUCGACUCCUGUCUGAAGCUCCA
RNAcentral lists this transfer RNA (75 nucleotides) under Phage sp. ctqZP6. RNAcentral describes it as "tRNA-Thr". It matches the Rfam family "tRNA". Rfam says of the family: Transfer RNA (tRNA) molecules are approximately 80 nucleotides in length. Their secondary structure includes four short double-helical elements and three loops (D, anti-codon, and T loops). The record is from RNAcentral.